AUUGCUUAUCCCCUUUCUUUUCCCCUUCCUUUCCCCCCCCCUUUUAGAGUUUUGGAUCUGGCUCAGAUUGAACGCUGGCGGCAUGCCUUACACAUGCAAGUCGAACGGCAGCACGGGUGCUUGCACCUGGUGGCGAGUGGCGAACGGGUGAGUAAUACAUCGGAACGUGUCCUGUAGUGGGGGAUAGCCCGGCGAAAGCCGGAUUAAUACCGCAUACGAUCUACGGAUGAAAGCGGGGGAUCUUCGGACCUCGCGCUAUAGGGGCGGCCGAUGGCGGAUUAGCUAGUUGGUGAGGUAAAGGCUCACCAAGGCGACGAUCCGUAGCUGGUCUGAGAGGACGACCAGCCACACUGGGACUGAGACACGGCCCAGACUCCUACGGGAGGCAGCAGUGGGGAAUUUUGGACAAUGGGCGAAAGCCUGAUCCAGCAAUGCCGCGUGUGUGAAGAAGGCCUUCGGGUUGUAAAGCACUUUUGUCCGGAAAGAAAUCCCUGGUCCUAAUAUGGCCGGGGGAUGACGGUACCGGAAGAAUAAGCACCGGCUAACUACGUGCCAGCAGCCGCGGUAAUACGUAGGGUGCAAGCGUUAAUCGGAAUUACUGGGCGUAAAGCGUGCGCAGGCGGUGAUGUAAGACCGAUGUGAAAUCCCCGGGCUCAACCUGGGAACUGCAUUGGUGACUGCAUCGCUUGAGUAUGGCAGAGGGGGGUAGAAUUCCACGUGUAGCAGUGAAAUGCGUAGAGAUGUGGAGGAAUACCGAUGGCGAAGGCAGCCCCCUGGGUCAAUACUGACGCUCAUGCACGAAAGAACCCAA
This 811-nucleotide ribosomal RNA is filed under the name Paraburkholderia tropica. RNAcentral's name for it is "bacterial SSU rRNA". It matches the Rfam family "Bacterial small subunit ribosomal RNA", at positions 1 to 772 of the family's 1533-position model. The record is from RNAcentral. Lineage: Bacteria; Pseudomonadati; Pseudomonadota; Betaproteobacteria; Burkholderiales; Burkholderiaceae.